ACUUUUUUAGUAUAACAGUACAAGUGGCUUCCAACCACUCAGCUCUGGUUAAACCCAGAAAAAAGUA
Molecule: transfer RNA, 67 nt
Filed under: Breviceps mossambicus (Mozambique rain frog)
Lineage: Eukaryota; Metazoa; Chordata; Amphibia; Anura; Brevicipitidae
Description: tRNA-Gly
Rfam family: tRNA
About the family: Transfer RNA (tRNA) molecules are approximately 80 nucleotides in length.
Source: RNAcentral